GAUGAACGCUGGCGGCGUGCCUAAUACAUGCAAGUCGAGCGAACAGACGAGGCGCUUGCUCCUCUGACGUUAGCGGCGGACGGGUGAGUAACACGUGGAUAACCUACCUAUCUGACUGGUAUAACUUCGGGAAACCGGAGCUUAUCCCGGAUAAUAUCUUGAACCGCAUGGUUCAAUAGUGAAAGACGGUUUUGCUGUCUCUUCUAGAUGCAUCCGCGCCGCGUUAGCUAGUUGGUAAGUUAACGGCUUACCAAGGGAACGCUGCGUAGCCGACCUGAGAGGGGGGACGGGCACACAGGAACUGAGACGCGGUCCAGGCACCUACGGGAGGCAGCAGUAGGGAAUCGUCCGCAAUGGGCGAAAGCCUGACGGAGCAACGCAGCGUGAGUGAUGAAGGUCUUCGGAUCGGAAAACGGUGUUAUGAGGGAAGAACAAAUGUGUAAGUAACUAUGCGCGUCUGGAGGGUACCUAAACAGAAAGCCACGGCUAACUACGU
RNAcentral lists this ribosomal RNA (496 nucleotides) under uncultured bacterium. RNAcentral describes it as "partial 16S ribosomal RNA". It matches the Rfam family "Bacterial small subunit ribosomal RNA", at positions 28 to 506 of the family's 1533-position model. The record is from RNAcentral.